This 1435-nucleotide long non-coding RNA is filed under the name Oryctolagus cuniculus (rabbit). RNAcentral's name for it is "lncRNA (ENSOCUG00000031153.1)". Lineage: Eukaryota; Metazoa; Chordata; Mammalia; Lagomorpha; Leporidae. The record is from RNAcentral.
GAAAAAUCCUUGUCUUCCAAUAAUCUCCAGGUCUUCCAGUCAAUGUCUUCCUGAAGAUCUAUGUCUUCCAGAAUAUCCGUAUCUUCCUGUAACCUCCCAGUCUUCCAGCAAAUCCACGUCUUCCGGGCACUUCAGGUCUUCCUGAAAAUCCAGGUCUUCCAAAAAACUCAUGUCUUCCAGAAAAUCCACGUCUUCCAGAGAAUUCUGGUCUUCCAUCAAAUCCAUGGCUUCCAAGAAAUCCACGUCUUCCUGCUAAUCUAUGUCUUCCAAAAAAUCCACGUCUUCCAGCAAAGCCAUGUCUUCCAGAAUAAUUCAUGUCUUCCAACAAAGCUACGUCUUCCAGAAAAUACAUGUCUUCCAGCAAAUCUGCGUCUUCCAGCAAAUCCACGUCUUCCAGAAAAAAACCUGUCUUCCAGCAAAUCCCUGUCUUCAGAAAAUCCACGUCUUCCAGAAAACCCACGUCUUCCAGAAAAUCCAUGUCUUCCUGCACCUUCAGGUCUUCCAGCAUCUCCAGGGCUUCCAGCAUCUGCUCGUCUUCCUACAUCUCUGCAUCUUCCAGCAUCAUCACGUCUUCCAACAUCUCCAGGUCUUCCAACAACUACCCAGUCUUCCAUCAGCGGGCUCAAUAUCUACGUCUUCCAAUGUCUUCAGUGUGCUGGUCUAACAUUAAGGUCUUCCAGUCUCUGCAAUAUCCAGAUUGGCUGAGUAUCAUCUGGGAUGAGAAGAAUGAAUGGCUCCUGUAAUGCUGCACACUAGCCCAUUCUUCUUCACAUGCACUCAGGGGUUUCAGGAACAGCAGGAAAAUGGAUUUUGAUCUGUAAGUGCUUUUCUUUUCAUAUAUAUAUAUAUUUAAAGUAUACAAAUUUCAUUUUUUUAUAUAUACAAAUUUUUUAUAUAUAGAGAUUCAGGAAUAUAGUGAUACUUUCCACCCUCCCCUCCCCCCCCUUUACUCCCACCUUUCUUUCUCCUCCCUCUCCUAUUCCAUUCUUAUUUUUUACUAAAGUCUAUUUUCAAUUAAGUUUAUACACAUAAGAUUAACCCUAAACUAAGUAAAGCAUUCAACAAAUAGCAUGAAGAAAGAAACACUGUUCCUCGACAGUAGAGGCAAGAGAUGUUCAAAAUCAUCACAUCUCAAAGUAUCAAUUGCAAUGCUAUAGAGAUUACCUUUUAAGUACUCUGUUAGUUACCACAGAGCAGGGAGAACAUAUGGUAUUUUGGGACUGGCUUAUUUCACUAAAUAUAAUGAUUUACAGUUGAAUCAGUUUUGUUACAAAUGAUGAUUUUAUUUUUAACUGCUGUAUAGUAUUCCACACUGUAUAUAUAACAUAAUCUUCAUCCAGUCAACAGGUGAUGGACAUCUGGGUUGAUUCCAUACCUUAUUUCUUGUGAAUUGAACUGCAAUAAACAUGGGGAUACAGAUAACUCUUUUAUAUGC